CGAGGUCAUCCGAGCAGUAACAACGAACCGUGAGAAGUCAGCAGAGGUCAUAGUAGCCGGGCAAGGAAAAAAAACAUCGACAACCUGGUGAAGGAC
This 96-nucleotide non-coding RNA is filed under the name Macellibacteroides fermentans. Lineage: Bacteria; Pseudomonadati; Bacteroidota; Bacteroidia; Bacteroidales; Porphyromonadaceae. The record is from RNAcentral.